CUUUAUGAAAUAUUGGGGAGGGGGCUCUUGCCGAAGGCACGGAAAAUUUUUAAAUUUGAAUCCCGGAAAUGGCAUUUGCAGCAUUCUGAGAGACGCAUAAUCAGAAAACCCAGAAUUCCGGGCGCCAGAGUAUGCCUGUUCGCAGGUAGUGCUGCGAAUAAUAUAGUUAACAACAAAAAUCAUGACCAAAGACACCAAAAACGGAUCAAAAUUGUAUUUUAAAAUACUUAAAACGUAG
Non-coding RNA from Paramuricea clavata, 238 nucleotides. The record is from the annotation of a GenBank genome assembly. NCBI's taxonomy places the organism in Eukaryota, Metazoa, Cnidaria, Anthozoa, Malacalcyonacea, Plexauridae.